AUACGGAGGGUGCAAGCGUUAUCCGGCAUCAUUGGGUUUAAAGGGUCCGCAGGCGGAUUAAUAAGUCAGUGGUGAAAUCCUCUCGCUCAACGAGAGCACUGCCAUUGAAACUGUUAGUCUUGAAUUCGGUCGAAGUAGGCGGAAUGUGUCAUGUAGAGGUGAAAUGCAUAGAUAUGACACAGAACACCGAUAGCGAAGGCAGCUUACGAGACCUGGAUUGACGCUCAUGGACGAAAGCGUGGGGAGCGAACAGGAUUAGAUACCCUAGUAGUCC
This 274-nucleotide ribosomal RNA is filed under the name uncultured bacterium. RNAcentral's name for it is "partial 16S ribosomal RNA". It matches the Rfam family "Bacterial small subunit ribosomal RNA", at positions 523 to 796 of the family's 1533-position model. The record is from RNAcentral.